Non-coding RNA from Camelina sativa (false flax), 1413 nucleotides. Lineage: Eukaryota; Viridiplantae; Streptophyta; Magnoliopsida; Brassicales; Brassicaceae. The record is from RefSeq and is a predicted model, not a curated record.
GACCAUCAAAUAGCAAACAACUUUUCUGUGUUUUUGCGAAGAAGAAUAUCACAACAAUGUCGUCAUCAUCACAUUUUGCUAUCCUUUGCCUCUUCAUGAUUUCCCUCGUUCCUCUACAUGAAUUUGGAAACGCACAGGAUUCUGAAGCGAGCCUGCAGCGGUUAGAUCCAUCAAUGUGUAUGCGUGUAUUAUGUGCAAAAAACAAAAAUCAAAAAUGGUGUUUUUGCUGUGCCGGAGUGCCGAAGACAUGUCAUCUUAAUAAACGAGAAUGUGCGGCUGUCUGCAAGCGCCCACCUCGCCCACCUCCCCGCUAGCGCCCACCUUCCCGUAAUUAUGUGUAGUACCAUUGCAUGUCUACGUGCUACACUAUUGUGAGUAGUGUAUGCAUUUUGUUUGAAAUGGUUCUGAAUCAAUUUUAAGAUAUUUCCUAAAAUCGUAUGUGAUCGGUUUUGGCCGAAAUAGCUAAAUGCAAUUUGAAAACUUAGAAACUGUAUCAACUUUGACUAGUUGAGAACUUGAGAUGAAGAGGUAAUAUGUAUAUGGUCUGUUUGAUUCAUAUAUGUAUAUUCUCUAAGUCCUUUAUUAUUAUUAUUGUUAUUUUUUUAAGCCUUUUACUUUCUAAAAUUAUUGGAACUGUUCUCUAUUUUACUCACAAUGAAGGCAUAUAAAACAACGUGUAGUUUACAUGCAUUAUACAGUAAUUUUAAAUAUAUCAUAUAUAUAUGCUUAAUUAGACUUUUGAAGCUGGCGGUACUAUUUAAAAAAAAAAAUUGUGAUAUGUAUACAAACACCGUCUCAUAUACACGUAAUGUUUACAAACAUAACAAAAAAAAAAAACAAAAACAAAUUGUGAUAUGUAUAUAGGAAUGUGGUCACCGUCACGUAUAUAAAAAUUGCAUGAACAAUUUCUAAUAUGUAUCUAUCAUGCAUUGUGAGCUUUUCUUGAAACCGAAUGAGCCAGACAAGGAGGGCGAUUCCGGAUGCUCCGAGGCUACUAGAAGCUAAGAAACCUGUAGCCAAGACAGUUGAAGUGAUAACUGCCGGUACGAGAAUCGGACUAAGAAGUAAGAACCACAAAAACCGGCAUCAUAACGGCUAGAGCCACGGCCAUGCCGGUGAAGGCUAAACCGGUGAGGAUCAUAAGGGAUACGGCGCCUAUACCGGCGUAAAGAGGCGGUUUGUCUUUCGUGUCGAAGAAAUGCAUUUGGCAGUAGAGAAAUUUUGUUAAGACUCUGAUUCUGUAUAAAGAGUCUACGUGUACGACGCAUGUGUCUGAAGAGAGUAUUGUCCAUGCAUGUAACUGACACCUUUGUGAGUGAAGUUGCUCUACGUCACGCCAAGUUAAGUUGCUUUUGUUUUUUGUUCACAUUUAAUUUGCCUCGUUCGUUUAUUUUUCUUCUAACAGGGAUUAAU